Molecule: long non-coding RNA, 1537 nt
Organism: Hippocampus comes (tiger tail seahorse)
Lineage: Eukaryota; Metazoa; Chordata; Actinopteri; Syngnathiformes; Syngnathidae
Exons: 6
Source: RefSeq, a predicted model, not a curated record
GGUGGCUCUUCUUCCUCGGGUUGACCUGUCCCAGUCUAGAAGUCGAGACUCCACCUUCUUGGUCCUGUUCCGACCUGCCUGGGAUCCACUUACAAAAAGUCAAGUCUCAUCUGGAGCUUUCUUUCAGGAAGUCACAUAUAACCGCCGCGGGAAUCCCGAUGGCGGCGGCGAGCAGCUGACAUCUGCCGGAUGUGCCCAGGCUCCAGCGAAGGUAGGAUGCGUUUGCUCUGUUGUUGCGAUGAGGUCACAUCCCGCCCGACGCUCUCACUUCCUCCUCGGGCCGCAGUAUUUGCCCUGGCAGCCGCCUCCGCCUACAACAACAGCAACCCGCACGCGCGCGCGGUUGACCCACGGGCGGUUGGACACGACACGCGGCGAUCGCACGCUCCCGCUGCCAACAGGCCCUGCAUGGCGGCGUACUUGGCUGCCUUCUGCGCGCUCGCUGCAGCACACAUGAGAAGUCAACACUCUUACUCUGAAGGCUUUGUCGCGAGAGCGGCGUGCCGCCUCGUCCGGCUCAGCUGGAGCCCGACCAUAUGGGCGAAGGUUUUGUGAUCCCCGGUCCUACUCUGCCAGGUACCAUGCCGCCAAGACCCGUUCCGACGACUCCUGUACCUCCGCCGACGGCACCAGGCCCAGUCCCCAAUUGUCCUGGACCUCCUCCAAUCACACCUGUUCCUGUCCCAACUCCUCCCGGAAUGGGGCCAACACCUCCGGCACCAUCAUAGCCGCCAGCCCCACGCCCACCUUGACUUCCUGGACCAAAGUUCCCAUACGCUGAUAUGGAGACAAAAAUGGUUCAUAGGAGGGAAUUUUUUGGGGCAAGGAAGCAAGAGGGUUGUCAAGCCAGGUUUUGUGAGACCUGUUCCUAGUCCGGCAGAGGCCCCAACACCUCCUGGAUAUCCUCCACUUCCACCAAGUCCAGUCCCACCUCCUGGACCUCCUUCAACUACACCAGGUCCGGUCCCAACUCCUCCUGGACCUCCUCCAACUACCCCGGUGCCACCUUCUACUCCACCAGGGAUGGGAAUUCCUGUUCCUCUAAGACCGUCUCCAUCAGCUCCUGCACCAAAUGGGCUGCCAGCGACCCCCCCGCUGGCCCCUGUUGCAGUAGGGGUUUAUUCAUGUGCACACUUUGAUUCAACAGCACGGAUUGUUUCACAUGUAAAACAACUUUUCAUGACUAAAAAAGUUAGUGUAUUUUAAUUGAUAAUGCCUGUUUAAACACGAGCACGCUACCACCCCUCCCCGCUGAACACCCCCCGACCCCCGAUGAGUGAUUGAAGGCUGUGGAUCCUCAGGCCUUACAGUGCAGUGUUGUAUCUCUACAAAUAGAAGUUGCAUUUAAACACACCUUCUCCUGCAGCAAUGCCAGACCCCUCUAUCAUACCGCCUGGACCACCCUCACCUGGAAUAGGACAGAUUGUUACUAUUGAAAUUGUUGGUUGAUACCAAUUUGAUGAUUACCUCGAUCGCUGAAAACCAGAACAAAAUGCAUUGGAGUAUGUCUCUGAAUGAACUUUUCCGAUUUUGAUUU